This 403-nucleotide ribosomal RNA is filed under the name uncultured bacterium. RNAcentral's name for it is "bacterial SSU rRNA". It matches the Rfam family "Bacterial small subunit ribosomal RNA", at positions 356 to 773 of the family's 1533-position model. The record is from RNAcentral.
GGGGAAUAUUGCACAAUGGGGGAAACCCUGAUGCAGCAACGCCGCGUGAAGGAUGAAGGUUUUCGGAUUGUAAACUUCUUUAGUCAGGGACGAAACAAAUGACGGUACCUGAAGAAUAAGCCACGGCUAACUACGUGCCAGCAGCCGCGGUAAUACGUAGGUGGCGAGCGUUGUCCGGAAUUACUGGGUGUAAAGGGCGUGUAGGCGGGAAUGUAAGUCAGAUGUGAAAUCCCAGGGCUCAACCCUGGAGCUGCAUCUGAAACUAUGUUUCUUGAGUGUCGGAGAGGAAAGCGGAAUUCCUAGUGUAGCGGUGAAAUGCGUAGAUAUUAGGAGGAACACCAGUGGCGAAGGCGGCUUUCUGGACGAUAACUGACGCUGAGGCGCGAAAGCGUGGGGAGCAAAC